Gadus macrocephalus (Pacific cod) is the source of this 1254-nucleotide long non-coding RNA. RefSeq lists it as uncharacterized. The record is from RefSeq and is a predicted model, not a curated record. The transcript is spliced from 2 exons. NCBI's taxonomy places the organism in Eukaryota, Metazoa, Chordata, Actinopteri, Gadiformes, Gadidae.
UAUUACAUCGAUGACCCUUGACCUGUGAUAAGCAGCCGCAUAAUGACCAUGUUGCACACUUGAUAUUGUUUAACUUUGGCAUGGAACAGAAUAACGCGCGUCUAUACCAAGGUCACACUCAACCCUCUGCAAAGGUGAUUAGUAGCCUACUAUAUAGAAAACAGAUGGAAAAAGUAAGAGGAAAAGAUUAGUACGUUCAUUUGGCAGAUGCUUUUAACAAAGCGUCCUAACAAUAAUGUAACUGCAAUAAUGGCAUAAACAUGAGUGACGGAAAUGUUAGUUUUAACCUACGCACGGGCGGCACCAGCGGGAAAUUAACCCUGGCACUGGUGGACCAACCCAGGAUCGUAUUAAUAGACAAAUCUUUUUUUUUUUUGUCCCAAAUGUAAAUUAAAUAUCAGGUAAAUGUCAAAUGUUCAAAGGGACAGAGUCCAAACUACAUCCAAUUUAAAGGUCCCAUUGCAUGAAAAUGUCACUUGAUGAGGUUUUCUAACAUUAAUAUCAGUUCCCCUAGCCUGCCUAUGGUCCCCCAGUAUCUAGAAAUGGCGUUAUGUGUAAAACGAACACUAGGUAUCCCGGUCUGCCUUUUGAAAAAACAAAGCUCAGACGCGCCGAUUUGGAAUUUUGACAUGUUACCAUCCCUUUCACUGCUUUGCCCUCCAAGAGAAUUUGGCCAGCCAAUGAGACAAUGAGCUACGACCGUGCGAGCGCCACAUGUGUUGGGGGUUAUCUCAGUUAUGGUUGAGAAGGAAUUGGGGGAAAGGAACUUUGGCUUUGACUCCCUGAAGUACAUGAACCGCGACAUGGAGGAGAAAGGGAUUGUUGCACACGAUUGGGGCGGUGGUGCGUUGGGGCUCCGGUGGGAGAAAAUCACUUUUAACAAUCGAGAGCAACAAUCCCUUUCUUCCCCAUGUCGCGGUACAUUCUACUUCAGAAUGACGUGGAAGUGGAAGAACCAGAGACGUCGGAGAACCCGACACAGUCGUUUGAGGAUUCAUAAUAUCGUCUGGAGGCGCAGACAGCUUUUGGCCCUGAUAAUAUAUAUUAUAUGAUAUAGAUAUCUAUGUAUAAUAUGAUGUUAUUUAGAUAUAGAGCUCCAGGACCGCCGGAGCAACCGGAAUGUUCUAGAAUAUUUUACAGAACACGGCCAAAAGCUGUGUGCGCCUCGCCAUUGCGAUACAUCCACUGUAAACGCGAGCGCAUGGUACCGUGGCCGCAAGCUACUCAGGGCCACACCCCCACCCUCCACCUUGA